AUGGCCUGACGAUUGCCUUCCUUAAUGAGGCGGAAAAAGCGGCCAUUCGGGCGAAGGUGCAGUAAACAACAAGGCCGCUGAUUCAGCGGCCUUUUUUUU
Molecule: small RNA, 99 nt
Filed under: Pantoea ananatis
Lineage: Bacteria; Pseudomonadati; Pseudomonadota; Gammaproteobacteria; Enterobacterales; Erwiniaceae
Description: Tryptophan operon leader
Source: RNAcentral